CAGACAUUUGCACACACAGCCAAGAAAUCUUAACAUACAAGCAGGAAUAUUCUUAAGAUACUUUACAUCUUGAGAGUUAAGUUUUCGCGUUCACUGAGGCUUCCAAACCAAUUCGUAGAUGUCGCAAGAAAGUAAGCCCUUCGUUUCAGAUCCACCUUCCCAAUCCCUGGGCCCAACAUAGGUGAUGACGUAACGAGCGGCCUUCUAGAGGAAUGCCAGCCACUGGAUCAUUACGUCCGGCCAGCCGGCGGAAAGACAAGGCCAUCGCGUCGUGGGGAUGGGCAAGCAACGUGAGAAACAAACGCUGGGAGCGGAGGUCGAACCCAGGAACACGGCACAGCCACACGCAGGAUCUAAAUAUAUGGGGAGUUCAUGUCUGUCAACAGGAGACAAGAGGGUUCUCGAUAGCAGUAACAUUUCUAGAGUCUAGCUGCUUCGCUGGUUCUCUAGACUAAAGGACCUAAAGAUGGAUGUCUUCUGGAAUGGUACGCCGGGUAGUCUGUCGAAUACUGGCUGACGUUUCAGAGAACCUUACUGCCGCCAUCAUCAAGACGAUGAGCGCAAUGAUGUUGGAGGCUGAGUUAACUAAUGGCUGACUGACCUACGUCCCAAACAGCCAAAUAAACAAACCAAACCAAACUAAACGACCAACAUAACCAAUUAAACUAAAUAACCAAGUUAACCAAACGUAACCACGUGGAAUCAAGCGGUAAAUUGACAUUCGGAAAAUAUUACCACAGCUGAAAGCUUCACAACCAUCAGAACGUUAAAUCUUAGUUGAUGUAAAUUGAUUACAGAAUAAUAAAUAAAUUCUUCAGUAGGUUACUUUUUAACCUGCUCAGUCCACUAA
Long non-coding RNA from Zootermopsis nevadensis, 850 nucleotides. RefSeq lists it as uncharacterized. The record is from RefSeq and is a predicted model, not a curated record. NCBI's taxonomy places the organism in Eukaryota, Metazoa, Arthropoda, Insecta, Blattodea, Termopsidae.